RNAcentral lists this ribosomal RNA (497 nucleotides) under uncultured bacterium. RNAcentral describes it as "partial 16S ribosomal RNA". It matches the Rfam family "Bacterial small subunit ribosomal RNA", at positions 28 to 507 of the family's 1533-position model. The record is from RNAcentral.
GACGAACGCUGGCGGCGUGCCUAAUACAUGCAAGUUGAGCGCUGAAGGUUGGUACUUGUACCAACUGGAUGAGCAGCGAACGGGUGAGUAACGCGUGGGGAAUCUGCCUUUGAGCGGGGGACAACAUUUGGAAACGAAUGCUAAUACCGCAUAAAAACUUUAAACACAAGUUUUAAGUUUGAAAGAUGCAAUUGCAUCACUCAAAGAUGAUCCCGCGUUGUAUUAGCUAGUUGGUGAGGUAAAGGCUCACCAAGGCGAUGAUACAUAGCCGACCUGAGAGGGGGAUCGGCCACAUUGGGACUGAGACACGGCCCAAGCUCCUACGGGAGGCAGCAGUAGGGAAUCUUCGGCAAUGGACGAAAGUCUGACCGGGCAACGCCGCGUGAGUGAAGAAGGUUUUCGGAUCGUAAAACUCUGUUGGUAGAGAAGAACGUUGGUGAGAGUGGAAAGCUCAUCAAGUGACGGUAACUACCCAGAAAGGGACGGCUAACUACGUG